ACGGGAGGCAGCAGUGGGGAAUAUUGCACAAUGGGGGAAACCCUGAUGCAGCGACGCCGCGUGAAGGAAGAAGUAUCUCGGUAUGUAAACUUCUAUCAGCAGGGAAGAUAAUGACGGUACCUGACUAAGAAGCCCCGGCUAACUACGUGCCAGCAGCCGCGGUAAUACGUAUGGAGCAAGCGUUAUCCGGAUUUACUGGGUGUAAAGGGAGCGUAGACGGCAAAGCAAGUCUGAAGUGAAAUCCCGGGGCUCAACCCCGGAACUGCUUUGGAAACUGUUUAGCUAGAGUGCAGGAGAGGUAAGCGGAAUUCCUAGUGUAGCGGUGAAAUGCGUAGAUAUUAGGAGGAACACCAGUGGCGAAGGCGGCUUACUGGACUGUAACUGACGUUGAGGCUCGGAAGCGUGGGGAGCAAACAGGAUUAGAUACCCUGGUA
This 434-nucleotide ribosomal RNA is filed under the name uncultured Blautia sp. Its description in RNAcentral is "bacterial SSU rRNA". It matches the Rfam family "Bacterial small subunit ribosomal RNA", at positions 341 to 792 of the family's 1533-position model. The record is from RNAcentral. Lineage: Bacteria; Bacillati; Bacillota; Clostridia; Lachnospirales; Lachnospiraceae.